GAUGAACGCUGGCGGCGUGCCAAAUACAUGCAAGUCGAGCGAACGGACGAGAAGCUUGCUUCUCUGAUGUUAGCGGCGGACGGGUGAGUAGCACGUGGAUAACCUACCUAUAAGACUGGGAUAACUUCGGGAAACCGGAGCUAAUACCGGAUAAUAUUUUGAACCGCAUGGUUCAAAAGUGAAAGACGGUCUUGCUGUCACUUAUAGAUGGAUCCGCGCUGCAUUAGCUAGUUGGUAAGGUAACGGCUUACCAAGGCAACGAUGCAUAGCCGACCUGAGAGGGUGAUCGGCCACACUGGAACUGAGACACGGUCCAGACUCCUACGGGAGGCAGCAGUAGGGAAUCUUCCGCAAUGGGCGAAAGCCUGACGGAGCAACGCCGCGUGAGUGAUGAAGGUCUUCGGAUCGUAAAACUCUGUUAUUAGGGAAGAACAUAUGUGUAAGUAACUGUGCACAUCUUGACGGUACCUAAUCAGAAAGCCACGGCUAACUACGUG
This 497-nucleotide ribosomal RNA is filed under the name uncultured bacterium. Its description in RNAcentral is "partial 16S ribosomal RNA". It matches the Rfam family "Bacterial small subunit ribosomal RNA", at positions 28 to 507 of the family's 1533-position model. The record is from RNAcentral.